Molecule: ribosomal RNA, 503 nt
Filed under: uncultured bacterium
Lineage: Bacteria
Description: bacterial SSU rRNA
Rfam family: Bacterial small subunit ribosomal RNA
Source: RNAcentral
UGGCGGCGUGCCUAACACAUGCAAGUCAACGGGGAUUGUUUCGGCAGAAUCCUAGUGGCGAACGGGUGAGUAACGCGUAGGCGAACCUGCCCUCCGCCGGGGGACAACAACUCCAAAGGGGUGCUAAUACCGGAUACGAAGUCUGUGCCGCAUGGUACGGAUUUGAAAGAUGGCCUCUAUUUAUAAGCUAUCGCCGGGGGAUGGGCCUGCGUCCGAUUAGCUGGUUGGUGGGGUAACGGCCUACCAAGGCGACGAUCGGUAGCCGGUCUGAGAGGAUGAACGGCCACAUUGGGACUGAGACACGGCCCAGACUCCUACGGGAGGCAGCAGUGGGGAAUCUUCCGCAAUGGGCGCAAGCCUGACGGAGCAACGCCGCGUUGAGUGAGGAAGUUCUUCGGAACGUAAAGCUCUGUUGUUCCUGACGAACCUCCCCUCUAUCAACAACGGAGGGGACUGACGGUAGGGAACGAGGAAGCCACGGCUGACUACGUGCCAGCCGCCGC